GACGAACGCUGGCGGCGUGCUUAACACAUGCAAGUCGAACGGAAAGGCCCUGCUUUUGUGGGGUGCUCGAGUGGCGAACGGGUGAGUAACACGUGAGUAACCUGCCCUUGACUUUGGGAUAACUUCAGGAAACUGGGGCUAAUACCGGCUAGGAGCUCCUGCUGCAUGGUGGGGGUUGGAAAGUUUCGGCGGUGGGGGAUGGACUCGCGGCUUAUCAGCUUGUUGGUGGGGUAGUGGCUUACCAAGGCUUUGACGGGUAGCCGGCCUGAGAGGGUGACCGGCCACAUUGGGACUGAGAUACGGCCCAGACUCCUACGGGAGGCAGCAGUGGGGAAUAUUGCACAAUGGGCGGAAGCCUGAUGCAGCAACGCCGCGUGCGGGAUGACGGCCUUCGGGUUGUAAACCGCUUUCGCCUGUGACGAAGCGUGAGUGACGGUAAUGGGUAAAGAAGCACCGGCUAACUACGUG
This 468-nucleotide ribosomal RNA is filed under the name uncultured bacterium. Its description in RNAcentral is "partial 16S ribosomal RNA". It matches the Rfam family "Bacterial small subunit ribosomal RNA", at positions 28 to 507 of the family's 1533-position model. The record is from RNAcentral.